Molecule: transfer RNA, 94 nt
Filed under: Colletotrichum chlorophyti
Lineage: Eukaryota; Fungi; Ascomycota; Sordariomycetes; Glomerellales; Glomerellaceae
Rfam family: tRNA
About the family: Transfer RNA (tRNA) molecules are approximately 80 nucleotides in length. Their secondary structure includes four short double-helical elements and three loops (D, anti-codon, and T loops).
Source: Rfam by way of RNAcentral
GGCCGGCUGGCGCAAUGGUAGCGCUUCAGACUUCUACGGGUUCAUCAUUACCCAUGAUAUCUGGAGGUUGUGGGUUCGACCCCCACGUUGGUCA